ACCUUCGUGGUGUAGUGGUCAGCACACACGACGUGUAUUCGAGAGGUCCCGGUUCGAGUCCUGGCGAGGGCA
RNAcentral lists this transfer RNA (72 nucleotides) under Stegodyphus mimosarum. It matches the Rfam family "tRNA". From Rfam's summary of the family: Transfer RNA (tRNA) molecules are approximately 80 nucleotides in length. Their secondary structure includes four short double-helical elements and three loops (D, anti-codon, and T loops). Lineage: Eukaryota; Metazoa; Arthropoda; Arachnida; Araneae; Eresidae. The record is from Rfam by way of RNAcentral.